RNAcentral lists this unclassified non-coding RNA (251 nucleotides) under Hevea brasiliensis (rubber tree). The record is from RNAcentral. Lineage: Eukaryota; Viridiplantae; Streptophyta; Magnoliopsida; Malpighiales; Euphorbiaceae.
AUUUCUUCUUGAGUUUUAUGAUCUGUUGAUUUAUGAGGAAUUAUGUUAUGGAUUAAUCUUAUGCUUUCAUGUUUUGAAAGUUCUAAUCUACAGUUUAGGUGCCAUAGUCAAAAUUCAAAGCUGAAGAAGGUGUGGACUUGUCAAGCCCCAGCUAAGACAGAGUAGCUCGAGUUUUUUUAUUUGGUAGUGGGGGGUCCAUUUAGUGCAGAUUUAAUUAAUAUAAUAAAUGAAAAGAAAAUUCCAUGGUUGCC